This 164-nucleotide ribosomal RNA is filed under the name uncultured Hydrogenophaga sp. RNAcentral describes it as "partial 16S ribosomal RNA". It matches the Rfam family "Bacterial small subunit ribosomal RNA", at positions 1223 to 1382 of the family's 1533-position model. The record is from RNAcentral. Lineage: Bacteria; Pseudomonadati; Pseudomonadota; Betaproteobacteria; Burkholderiales; Comamonadaceae.
UAACAAGUCGGCCGGUAACGAAAGGGCAGACCAAACCCGCGAGGGGGAGCCAAUCCAUCAAAGCCGGUCGUAGUCCGGAUCGCAGUCUGCAACUCGACUGCGUGAAGUCGGAAUCGCUAGUAAUCGUGGAUCAGCAUGUCACGGUGAAUACGUUCCCGGGUCUU